UUUUAUAUGUUUACUUAUUAUUAUUAUUUCAUAGUUUGUCGAUUUAGCCCAUUUUAUCUAAAUACGACGCUAUGAAAAUGCAGCCCAAUCGGUAAUCGCAAUAUUUCAAAAGAACAUAACCCAUCUUUCAAUAGCAAACCACUGCAAAAAGGACAAACGAGACAACAUAGCCGACCGUCAUUGUCGUAAAAUUGUCCAUUGAAACAAAUUUUGUCACGAUUCACACAAUUUGGUGUCAAUAUGUAUGUAUGUAUAUACAUAUGUAUGUUUGUGGACAAAGUCGUCGUUUGGUUUUUUUCAACAACACAAUGUCCGCGCGCACUCGCCGUUAUUUCGUUGGCUUGCCACCAUGCACAUAGGCGUGUCAAGUGAGGGCUCUAAUAUAUUAAUAUUAGAGAUGAAACUGAUAGCAGUUUGGCCGGAUACCGACCGGCGAAACUUAGCCGUUUGCGGAGGCGUCGCGCGAACGAUCGGGUGUACUCGGUUCGAUUCGGGUCUUUUCGUAGAUGAGUGAAGUUAACAAUUGUACCAUUCAUUGUGUCGAUUGCAUGCAGUGCAGGCACGUGUGUGAUCGUUUUUAGGUUAUAAUUUUAUUUGUGCUCUUAUUAUUUGAAGUUCAUACAUAAUUACAUAUAUACAUAAGUCUAAAAGAUUUAGCCACGAGAAAUGGCAUCGAUGAAGAAAAGAUCGCCUUUAUGGGAAUACUUUGACAUAAGCAGUGAAAAUAAAAAGUUAGCUCUUUGUUUAUUAUGCAAUGUUAAUAUUUCUCGUGGUGGCGAAGGGAAAAAAGCAGGUAAUCAUUUAAAAUCAAAACAUCCAGAUGAAUUUAGUGCUUUGAAUAGUAGAAAGUAGGCUGUUGAGCCUACUACAGUUUCUUUAGCCAUUGCGGGGACAAGUUCAUCUUCAGUAGCAAAAACGCAAUUGACUAUGACAGAAUCUUACGAAAGGAAAUUGCUCUGGGAUAUAAAUGAUACUAAAGCGACAAAGUACCAUUAUUUAGUAGCUGAAACGAUUGCACUCGACAACGAGCCAUUCUCCAUAGUGG
Bactrocera oleae (olive fruit fly) is the source of this 1045-nucleotide non-coding RNA. NCBI's taxonomy places the organism in Eukaryota, Metazoa, Arthropoda, Insecta, Diptera, Tephritidae. The record is from RefSeq and is a predicted model, not a curated record.